GUGUCAGCAGCCGCGGUAAUACGGAGGGUGCAAGCGUUAUCCGGAUUCACUGGGUUUAAAGGGUGCGUAGGUGGGUUGGUAAGUCAGUGGUGAAAUCUCCGAGCUUAACUUGGAAACUGCCAUUGAUACUAUCAGUCUUGAAUAUUGUGGAGGUCAGCGGAAUAUGUCAUGUAGCGGUGAAAUGCUUAGAUAUGACAUAGAACACCAAUUGCGAAGGCAGCUGGCUACACAUCUAUUGACACUGAGGCACGAAAGCGUGGGGAUCAAACAGGAUUAGAUACCCUGGUAGUCCACGCCCUAAACUAUGGAUACUCGACAUUUGCGAUACACAGUAAGUGUCUGAGCGAAAGCAUUAAGUAUCCCACCUGGGAAGUACGAUCGCAAGAUUGAAACUUAAAUAAAUUGACGG
This 409-nucleotide ribosomal RNA is filed under the name uncultured bacterium. Its description in RNAcentral is "bacterial SSU rRNA". It matches the Rfam family "Bacterial small subunit ribosomal RNA", at positions 505 to 916 of the family's 1533-position model. The record is from RNAcentral.